Molecule: transfer RNA, 84 nt
Filed under: Caudoviricetes sp.
Lineage: Duplodnaviria; Heunggongvirae; Uroviricota; Caudoviricetes
Also listed under: 4 other names
Description: tRNA-Tyr
Rfam family: tRNA
About the family: Transfer RNA (tRNA) molecules are approximately 80 nucleotides in length. Their secondary structure includes four short double-helical elements and three loops (D, anti-codon, and T loops). Further hydrogen bonds mediate the characteristic L-shaped molecular structure. tRNAs have two regions of fundamental functional importance: the anti-codon, which is responsible for specific mRNA codon recognition, and the 3' end, to which the tRNAs corresponding amino acid is attached (by aminoacyl-tRNA synthetases). tRNAs cope with the degeneracy of the genetic code in two manners: having more than one tRNA (with a specific anti-codon) for a particular amino acid; and 'wobble' base-pairing, i.e. permitting non-standard base-pairing at the 3rd anti-codon position.
Source: RNAcentral
GGGGGAAUAGACCGUAGAGGUAGCGGGACAGACUGUAAAUCUGUUGCCUAAGAAGCUCGGGUGGUUCAACUCCAUCUUCCCCCA